CCCUUAGAUGUCCUGGGCCGCACGCGCGUUACACUGAUGCAUUCAACGAGCUUAUAACCUUGGCCGAGAGGCCUGGGCAAUCUUGUUAACGUGCAUCGUGAUAGGGAUAGAUUAUUGAAAUUAUUAAUCUUGAACGAGGAAUUCCUAGUAAACGCAGAUCAUCAAUCUGCAUUGAUUACGUCCCUGCCCUUUGUACACACCGCCCGUCGCACCUACCGAUUGAAUGGUCCGGUGAAAUCUUCGGAUCUGAGAGAUGUUGGAUUAAUUUCUGACGCCUUUUGGAAAAGUCGCUUAAACCUUAUCAUUUAGAGGAAGGUGAAGUCGUAACA
Molecule: ribosomal RNA, 329 nt
Filed under: uncultured eukaryote
Lineage: Eukaryota
Description: partial 18S ribosomal RNA
Rfam family: Eukaryotic small subunit ribosomal RNA
Source: RNAcentral